Equus caballus (horse) is the source of this 4494-nucleotide non-coding RNA. The record is from RefSeq and is a predicted model, not a curated record. Lineage: Eukaryota; Metazoa; Chordata; Mammalia; Perissodactyla; Equidae.
UCCUGACCUGCGCCCGCCCCUUCUCCUCUCGGGGCGAACCGCCCUGAGCUCUCUGCUGAUCCUUCCUCUGCUGGUUUAUAUUGUUACCCACGGGACUCCACCUUAAACAACUUUGUAUCCGGCUCUGCUUCUUCUUGACUCUUGUGGAAGUUGCUAUUUUAAGAACAUGAAGUUAAAAAUAGAAGAGAUCGUGCUCAACAUUAAACGCCUCGUCCAGUGGCAUACCCAGUGACGAAGCAGGAGAAACGUUCCCACGGAGUCACCGGAAUGCCGGACGACCCGCCCUCCCAGUUAGGAUUUCUGUCUCACUGGAGGUCCUGAGUCUCAGAGUGGUUUGGGCUCAUACCAGCUGGCUUUUGCUGAAAACAAGUAGCUGGGAACAGUGGGUUGCUGGCCGUUUUCCUCCUGCUGGUCUUGCCUCCUGAGUGAAGCUGCUGCAGGCGCUGGUCAGACUGGACUCAGACAGGAGGGCAGGGCCUCUCUUCACGUGGCCCCUCCGCCUCCAGGAAGCCAGCCUGGAUUCCUCACACAAGGGGCUCGGAGUUCCCAGUAGCAAGAGAGAACAAGGCCUGAGGCACACGCCUUUCAAAGCCUCUGCUCUCGAGAAGAGUCCACUAGCCCCUCCCAAGUCCCCCCAGGACUCAAGGAACUCGGGCUCGAAUGAGACGUCCUCCAGCGUCUGCUGGGCCAAGGUCGUGAGGAAGCUCCUGUUAACCCAGAGACCCCACAGCCCAGGUCACCCGGCCGCCCCCAGCAGGCUGCAAUGGUGAUGUGGACGGGCAGCUGUGACACCAACAGUCAUUCAAGAAGGGGAGACAUGAAGGCACAGGGCAUCCCGGUUCCUCCAGGAUGGGCGCCUGCCUGGGCGCCUCUCAUGGGCCAGGCUGGGAAGAAGGGGCUCCGCUCGGGAGGGGCCGGGGAAAGACUCAGGGCGAGGGGGAGGCGCAUGGAAGGUCACUGGCCCCUGGAGGCCGGGCGCUGAUGGCUGGGAGUCAUCUCCUUCCCAGUGCAUGGUCGCCCCUGAAGCCAUCCAACAGGGGGACAUUCUCCAUGCACGGGCUGUAGCAGGGCUGGCAGAGCAGCCCUGAGUCCGGGACAGGCCUCCGCAUGGGCUGCCACACCAGCCCCCAAGCAGAGCGCGAUUCUCUGCUCUCCAGGGAGAGGGGCGAGGGCUGGCUCCCUUGCCUAUGGAGCCUUCGGAUAAGGGAACCCCCCAGUGGUUUGCCAUUCCACCUGAGGUGGCUCAUGUCCCGAAUGGACACUUGGCAUUUCUGCCUGAAGACUCGGGUUGGGCCAGCCGGUUCCCGAGGUUCCUUCAGCCAGGCGCUGUGAUCCUGGGAGCCCAGUCUGAAAUGCUGCCUGCGGUGCUGGACCUCCUGGGCAACAGAGCCCCCUCCAAGGUCAGGCUGCCCUGCCCCAGUGACUGAAACCUGGGAUGGGACGAGCCAGUGUGCAGGGAAGGGCCUGUGUGGAAGAACCCCUGAUGGGGGGCCUGGGGCUGGGGGUGUAAUGAUCACGGGGAGCUCACCCCCACGUGUCCCUGGAGAUGAGGAAGGGCCGUCAGCCUGGAGACAGAGACGGAAUCAUGGAGGCACAUGCGAUCUCCCAGGGAAGCUGAUGGAAGGAGAGGAGGGCAAGUCCCCUCGGUGUCCAGCAACAGCGAGAGGGAGGGGGCUCCUGUGAGGCGAGGAGGACCCUGUGUUUGGUACCUCUCUCUCGGGAGGCGGGGGGCCGGGGAACCCUGUGCUGAGAUGUGUGGGAGCGAGGGUGACAACCUCUCGAAGGGGUGGCAGUGAAGGGAAGGGAGAGAAGGGCUGGGUCACUGAGGGUCCUGCGGGCAGGAUGGUCCUGAGGGCAUGUGGGCUGGCUGAGAGUGGGUGAGGCGGGCUCAGCUGACCUCACUGACCUCGCUGACCCGUGGGCGGCGUUGUCACCCCCUACCCUGAUACCAUUGUUCUGUCCAGGUAAACUCACCCUGAGCAGUUGGACAGGAAAGGAAAUGACAACUUUUGGACGCCCCGGGUGGUUAGUUACAAAAGCUUUUAGGACGUUGGUACGUAAAGCGCUGGGCUGGGAACAUGCUGAUCCCCAAGGAGAAGAGGCUCUGCCCGCUGCCUCCCUUCGCGUUUGGAGUGAACCCUCUUGGCAAACUGGAAUUCAGGAUGAACCUCACGUGAGCACCCCGGUCGCACCUGUCCACAGGCCCGCCUGCAAGUCUCUGGCCCUGACCCCCACAGGCGGGAGUGGCCUCCUCUCCCCUCAGGGCCCUCAGCUCAGGGUUGGUCGUUCUGCACUGAUGGCCCACCCUCUGAAGCUGUUUCACCAACUUGCUGGUGUCCAUGGCCACGCGCCCGCCUCCUCGGUGGUGACAGUCAGACAUGAGCCCAACGCCGGGGUGUACACAGCCUGAGCGCCGAUCUGUGCACCCCGGGCCGGGCUUCCUGCUCCAGUCCUAGGAAAGCCGCCGGCCUGGGCGCCGGCCUGGUCUCCAUGGGGAACGGAGAAGGAGUGCUCAUGGCUGUGUGGUCAGUGACAGGUGGCAGCAAGGCAGGUCCAGGUCUGAGGGACUCCAGGUUUCUCUAACUCGGGAGAUGCAUCUGAAGAAGAGCUCAAAGACCUGAGACGCAACCUCGCCCAGGCCGAUCCCAGGGCUGUUGACGGCGCCACCACAGAAGGGCCUGAAGCUUAGAAGCCCAUCGGAUGCGUCCAGUACAAAUUGCUCCUCGACAAGACGUAUAACCCAGGCAUCUUCAGCACCUGGUGGAAGGAGAAAAUCUCCAUCAACUUCUUGCUGGGGAAGGAGCACGCCAUCACGCACUCCACGAGCCGGAUGGACAGGGCCACCUUCCACAUGAUGAUGCUCAUUGGUGUGUCCAGUACUUUCUGAGGUCGAGGGCCCGGCCUAGAGCUGGAAUGUGGGCUCAGACCGUUGGGGCACUGGCUCAAGGGUACUGGUCUCCUUCCAGCUCCCCUGUGCCCCCUGCUCGAGCCCCGCCUCGUCGGGAGGGAUGUGCAGGCUCCCAACCACCCUGGUCCACGAGCUCACGUCACCAUUCUUGCUGCCUGGCACCCUUUUCCACACAGGAUCCACCCAGCACCCCCACUCCAGGGACCCUCUGCCCUUUCCUCCCCCAGGCAGCUGUUGGUGUGGUCACUCCCUAGACAGGGGUUUUAAAUGGGGCCCUGGGGACACUGGGCAGUGCCUGGAGACACCUGUGGAGUCCUGACCCGGGAGGGAGGUGGUCCUGGCAUCGGUUCUGGUGGGGGGCCAGGCUGCUGCUCAACACCAUACAGUGCACAGGAUGGCCUCCACCCCAAAUGUCGGUCCUGCCGAGGUUGAGAGUCCCUCCCCCAGAUCCUGGCACGCUGGUGACCCCAUCUCCAUUUGGAGACCACGAAGCUCUGACAACCUGUUUUUAAAUUUCUCCCAAAGUUCUCCAGUGUGUCCACUCCAGAUUGUACCCUGUCGACUCCCCCGUCGCUCUUGUCCUUCCAGCACCUCCUGCAUGCGGCCGAUGCGCUCAUCAGCCCUUGCACACACUCCCAGCCUCGAGCAGGCUCUGCACACACGAGGUCCCAAGCUGGUCAGACUGGGGCUGGAGCAGGGGGACCCAGACAGAGAAAACCCACCAGGGGCCCAUGGCACCCCCUCACACGGUGACCGCAGACCACAAGGGCCCUCAAGUCUGUCCACACCCCUCCAGGUGUCCCAGGUCACCUCACUGCCCCCUCCUCAAGGCAGCAUUUCACACGCCCCCUGGUCUGACUCCUUCUCGGGAUGUCUGAGCAGGGAUGGCUCAUCCCUGGGCACCUUUGGGGACGGCAGUCAAAGGUCCCCUCUCUGCGCAGAGGUCUCUGACUGGAGAAAGGGGCCCCCUGACGUAAAGAGAAUGGGUUUGCUUGCCUCCCCGACUCUCGUUCCUGGUUGGAUCCAGAGGCUCAGCCCUGGGAGACGUGGCCCCACCUUGUUCUCUGCUGUCGGGGCCAGUGUCCUCAGGGCCGCAUCUGUACACAGGCGCCUGUGCCUCAGGGAGGACCUAGUAAGGGGACCCGCAGGAUGUCCCCACUGGCCACCAGCUCUGGACUGGGAGGGGAGAAACCCUGACCUUGUCCAGCCAAUGCCACGCUCGGGGCACUGCGGCAACGGUCUCCAAAACCAGCAUCCAGCAGGAUGGUGACAUGGACCUUUCUCCUGGAAACACGAGGCUUCUCAGGAUGGCCCUCCCCGACGCAGGUCCCCUCACCCCACCCCUACCCAGGUCCCUAAAAGGACUCCGCUCAUGUGAGGGACAAGUGGAGUCAACCCACGGAAAGAGGAGGUGGUACCGGGGGCUGGGGAGGGGAGGGGGUGAGUGUUCAGUGGGGACAGAGAUUCAGUCUGGGAAGGUCCUGGAGCUGAUGGUGGGGACGGGUGCACAACGUGAAUGUGCUCAAUGCCACUGAGCCGUGCACUUAACGAUGGUUAAGAUGGUGAAUUUUACAUGAUGCAUAGUU